UUUCCGUAGGUGAACCUGCGGAAGGAUCAUUAGUGAAUUUUGAGCGUCUCCUUAACGAGAGCUCGACCUCCACUUUCUAACUCUGUGCACCCAUUUAAGCUUGGCGUCUCGCUCCUUCACGGGAGCUUGAAGUCUUGCUUAUUUACCUUUACAAACAUGAAGUAAAAGAAUGUAAACAAAACCAUAACAAAAUAAAACUUUCAACAACGGAUCUCUUGGCUCUCGCAUCGAUGAAGAACGCAGC
RNAcentral lists this unclassified non-coding RNA (244 nucleotides) under uncultured fungus. RNAcentral describes it as "sequence contains ITS1, 5.8S rRNA gene". The stretch from base 196 to 244 matches the Rfam family "5.8S ribosomal RNA", at positions 1 to 49 of the family's 154-position model. The record is from RNAcentral. Lineage: Eukaryota; Fungi.